This 689-nucleotide long non-coding RNA is filed under the name Heterocephalus glaber (naked mole-rat). RNAcentral's name for it is "lncRNA (ENSHGLG00000028830.2)". The record is from RNAcentral. Lineage: Eukaryota; Metazoa; Chordata; Mammalia; Rodentia; Bathyergidae.
GACAGUGUUCUCUACCCAUUCAUUGAUCCUUUCAGCAAAUACAUGUGGCCUUAGCGUCCUGAAUUCUGACACUGGCCUAUGCAGUUCCCUAGAGUGGGUGCUGUGAAUAGAAGCAUCAGAGCCAUCAGAGGUUUCUGAUUUCUUGGCCUCACCUUCAGAACAGCUGAACAUCAGCUCUAGGAAGUGGGACCAAGCAACGUGUAUCUAUCUUCCCUGGCUUCCUGGGUGAUGCUUAUUCCCCGAGAUUGGCGACUCUGCCCCAGUGGAACAAGCAUGAGCAGGGCACAAGCACUCCUUGUCUCUGAGGAACUUCAAUUGCAUACUUCUUGCAACUUUGUGAUGAAAAAGCAGAGAUUUCUGGAUGCCCUCAAGGACUGGCUGAAAGGGAUUUCCAUGAUCAUGUGAUUCAAUACCAUUGCUUUGCAAAGGAGGAAGAGGAACUAAAGCUCAAAGAAGCAUCUCUGUUUAACCUAAGAAACAAUCCAGCAUUCCUUAAUCCAGUCACCUCCAAAAGCACAUGAAAAAAGUGAGGACAAUAAAGAUAUGCUGUUUGACAUCUUGCAGGAAAUACCAGGAAUAAAGGCACAGAAGUAGAAACAUUAGUAACAAUCACAGUGGGUUCUAUAUGCACCUAUUAUGGACCUUGCAUUAUGCCAAUCCUUUUCCAUUUAUUAUAUAUGACCCCAGCG